Molecule: long non-coding RNA, 6045 nt
Filed under: Sus scrofa (pig)
Lineage: Eukaryota; Metazoa; Chordata; Mammalia; Artiodactyla; Suidae
Description: lncRNA (ENSSSCG00040025543.1)
Source: RNAcentral
UUUUUUUUUUUUUUUUUUUUUUUUUUUUUAUGGAUCACAAACUAAGAAUUUUUAGAAGAUUGAGAAACAAGGAGUAAUAUCCUGUGAUGUGAAAAUUGUAUGAAAUUCAGAUCUCAGUGUCUGUAAUGUUUUAUUGACACAUAGCCAUGCCCAUUCAUUUAUGGCUGUGGCUGAUUUCUCAUUACAAGGCUAGAGCUGUGGUGGUGACAGAAAACUGUGUGGUUCACAAGCCUAAAAUAUUUACUACUUGGCUAUUUACAGAAAAUGUUUGCUAAUCUCUGAUACGGAGUAGCUGAUCAAUGGUAGGGCAAAGAUGCCAUGUAGGUUAAAUGCAGAUCUUGUGAUCAAUACUGAGUUGUGAAACUGGGACAUAAAAAAGUUUUUUGAUAGGCUUCAUUAGGUGAUAUUGUGAACCUUCCAAUGACAGGAAUAAAGUGAAUGAUUCUUGUCCAAUCCAAGGGAAGUUAAGAGAUGUCAAAAGAAAAUAUGGGAUAAACAAUUCAAAUGAAUUGAGCCAGUAUUAGGACUCAUGGUUGUUCAAAAAAGGGACAAGUCUGGGUAGACCACGGCAACCUAGGGUAGUUAGUAAGAUGAAUCAGGCUUUGUGACUGGGCAGAAUCUAAAUCCUUGUAGAGUCUGUCAAGGGAUUUCCCCUGCCUUACUUUUUUUUAUGGCCACUCCCGUGGCAUGUGGAGGUUCCUAGGCCAGAGAUUGAGGUUCAGCUAAAACCGCUUCAACACCGGGGGAUUCCACUUUUUAAAUUGUGGUAAAAUACACAUAAACAUGAAAUUCACAUUUCAACUAUUUGAAAGUGUAGAAUUUAGUGGCAUUUUGUAUAUUCACGAUGUUGUAUAACCAUAACCCUCACCCACUUCCAGAAUAUUUAUGUAUUUUCAUCACACCAAAAGGAGGCCCCAUAUCCUUAAUAAAUAGUACCAUACCUUAAUAAACAGUUAUGCCCCAUUCCCCUCAGCCCCUGGCAAUGGCUAGUCUGUUUCCUGUUUAUGGAUUUGGCUGUUCUGAAUAGCUUAUAUAAAUGGAGUCAUGUAGCCUUUUGUGUGUAGUUUCUUCCCUUAUCAUGUUUUCAAGACUCAUUACUUCAUCCCUUUUAUGUCUGAAUAAAUAUUCCAUUGUAUGUAUAUACUGCCUUUUGUUUAUCCAUCAAUUGAUGGGCAUUUGGAGGUGAUUCCAUGUUUGGUUAUCAAGAAUAGUGCCACUAGGAGCAUUCAUGUACAGGUUUUUGGUUGAAAACCUAUUUUCAGUUCUUUCCUAGGAAUGAAUUGAUGGAUCAUGUGAUAAAUCUGUGUUUAGCUUUUUUUUUUUUUUUUUUUUGGCUUUGCCCUUGGUGUGAGAAAGUUCAUGGGCCAGGGAUUGAACCUGUGCCACAGCAGCGACAGUGCCAAAUCCUUAACCUGCUGUACCACAGGAGAACUCCUGUUUAGCUUCUUUUGAAGUUCCAAACUCUGCUUCUCAGCAAGGUCCCUUGCACUUUCAUAUGAAUUUUAUGUUAGCUUUUCUGUUUUCGCACAAAAAGGCUGUUGAGAUUUUGAUAAGGAUUGCAUUGAAUCGGUGAUUUGGAGAAUAUUGCCAUUUUAAGACUUAAGCCUUAGAAUCCAUGAACAUGAGAUGUUUUCCCACUCAGCAGUGAUUUAUGGUUUUCACUGUACAGAUUUUCCAUAUCCUUGUUUAAAUGUAUUCUUAAGUAUUUUAUUCUUUUAGAUGCUAUUGUAAAUGGAAUUGUUUUCUUAAUUUCCUUUUUAAUUUGCUUAUUGAUAAUAUGUAGAAAAAGAACUGAUUUUGGAGUAUUGGUCUUGAAUCCUGCAACUUUCCUGAAUUUGUUCAGUAGUUCUAAUACUUUCUUUAUAGAUUCUAUAGGAUUUUUUUUUUCUUUUGUCUUUUUGCCAUUUCUUGGGCUGCUCCCACGGUAUAUGGAGGUUCCCAGGCCAGGGGUCAAAUUGGAGCUGUAGCCACCGGCCUAUGCCAGAGCCACAGCAAUGCAGGAUCCGAGCCAUGUCUGCAGCCUACACCACAGCUCACAGCAACGCUGGAUCCUUAACCCACUGAGCAAGGCCAGGGAUCGAGCCCGCAACUUCCUGGUUCCUAGGUGGAUUCGUUAACCACUGAGCCACAAUGGGAACUCCUAGGAUUUUUAAUAUAUGCAAUCAUAUCAUCUGCAAAUAGAGAUGGUUUAACUUCUUCCUCAGUUUGAAUGCCUUUAUUCAUUUUGUCUACUUGCUCUGGUUGGAAUUUCCAGUAUAGUGUUGAAUAUGAGUGGCCAAAGCAGGCACCCCCCCCUUUUUUAAACCAUCUUAAUCUUUUUAAGUUUACAGUUCAGUAAUGUUUUAAGUUUAUCCACCCAGAUGUGCAAUCAACCUCCAAAACAUUUUUAUCUGGCAUUGCGCAAAAACUCCUCAUUCCCGUUUGUCCGCUAGCCAGUGGCAACCUCCAUUUUACUUUCUGUUUCUAUGAGUUUGACUACUCUUGAUACGUCAUAUAAUUGAAAUCAUACACAACUUGUUUUUUUGUGACUGGCUUAUUUUACUUAGCGUAAUAUCCUCAGGUUUGAUCCAUGUUGUAGUGUGUGUCAGAAUUUCUGUUCUUUUUAAAGGUUGAAUAAUACUCCAUUGUGUGUAUAUAUCACAUUUUGUUUGUUCAUUCAUCUGUUGAUGGACGUUUGAUUUGCUUCUGCAUUUUGGCUACUGUGCAUAGUACUUCUGUGAACAUGGGUGUGCAAAUAUCUCUUUGAGACUCUGUUUUUAGUUCUUUUGGAUAAAUACUAAUAAGUGGUAUUUCUGGAUCAUAUGGUAAUUAUAUUUUCAAUUUUUUGAGGAACUACCAUACUGUUCUCCAUAGCAGUUACACCAUUUUAUAUUCCCACCCAGUGCAUAAGGGUUCCAAUUUCUAUACCUCCUUACCAGCGCUUGUUAUUUUCUUUUUUGAUCAUAGCCAGCAUAAUUGGUAUAAAGUAGUAUCUGAUUAUGGUUUUGAUUUCUAUUUCCCUAAUGAUGAGUGAUGUUGAGCAUAUUUCUAUAAGUUUGCUGGCCAUUUAUGUAUUUUCUUUGGAGAAAUGUCUGUUCAAGUCCUUUGUCUAUUAAAAUAAUUUUUUGUUGUUAUUUAAUCAUAGGAGUUCUCCUCACAGAGCCCCCAGACAGAUCAAAAUACAGUUCUUUGAAACUAAGGUACAUACAGGCAUAUCUUUGUUUUAUUGCGUUUUGCAGAUAUUGUGUUUUUUAUAAAUUGAAGGUUUGUGGCACUCCUGCAUUGAGCAAGUCUGCACCAUUUUUCCAACAAAAUUUGCUCAUUUCUUGGUAAUUCUCACAAUAUUUCAAACUUUUUCAUUGUUAUAUUUGUUAUGGUGGUCCAUCAUCAUUGACUCGAUGUUACCAUUCCAAAAAUAUUGUUAUUUGCUGAAGUCUUAGAUGAUGGUUAGCAUUUUAUAGCAAUAAAGUAUUUUUAAUUAAGGUACAUAUAUUUUUAAAGAUAUAGCACUAUUGCAUACUUAAUAGACUAGAGUAUAGUGUAAACAUAACUUUUAUAGGCACUGGGAAACCAGAAAAUUCAUGUGACUCGCUCUAGUGCCAUGGUCUGAAACUGAAACCCACAAGAUCUACAAGGUAUGUCUGUAUUGACCACUCUGGCACCAGCAAGCCAUACCACAAAUGCUCUUGUUUUAAAUUUUUUAUUAGAUUGCAGAGUUCUGAAAAAUUGAUUCUAGUUUAAUUGUUGCUUUACUGGAGGGAUGAUGUUCUGGAGUUCCCUAUUAUGUUAUUUCACCCCAAAAUUCCAACAUCAGUUUUUUUCCCCAGUUUUAUUAAAAUAUGAUUAUUGCCAAAAUAUCAGCUGCCUCUGUACACCAGUACCAAAUAGAAACACAGGGACAGAGAUGAAGGAAACAGAAAAAGUAGCUGUAAUUGCCAGGCAAAGAGGAGAACAUAGCAGGCUAGUGCCUUAAGGACUUACUAUAGCUUUCUAACAUGCUUUGAAAUCAGGGAGCAUGAUGCCUCUCACUUUGUUCUUUCUCAGAAUUGCUCUUUUUGGGGUCUUUUGUAGUUCCAUAUACAUUUUAGGACUUUUUUUUCUACUUUUAUCUUUUACCUCCUUGGUUAAAUUUAUUCCCAUGUAUUUUAUUGUUUUUGACUUUAUUGCUAAUGGUAUUAUUUUCUUAUUUAUUUUCAUAUAACUAAUGUAUAGAAACACAAUUAUUUUAGUAUGUUUAUUUCAUAUCUUGUAACGUCACUGAAUUCAUUGAUUAUUUCUAACAGUUUUUUUUGGAGUGUUUAGAAUUUUCAGUAUAUAAAAUCAUAUAAUCUUUAAAAAUGGGCAAAAGACCUGAAUAGGUAUUUUUCCAAAGAAGAUAUCAAAAGCAAGAGCCUACAAUAUGCUCUCUACAAGAGACUCACCUUAGGGCAAAGGACAUACAUAGAUUGAAAGUGAGGGCAUGGGAAAAGAUAUUUCAUGUCAAAGGAUGAGACAGGAAACCACGAGUUGCAAUACUCAUAUCAGACAAAAUAGACUUUCAAAUAAAGGCCUUAAAGAAAGACAAAGAAGGACACUAUUUAAAAUCAUGUGAUCUUUAAAUCGAGAUAGUUUACUUUUUCCUUCCAAUUCUUUUUUUUGAGGUUUUGAAAAUUGAGAUAUAUUUAAUGUAUAAUACUCUGUAAGUUAUAGGUAUACAGCAUCAUGAUUCACAAUUUUUAAAGGUUAUAAAACUCUAUUUAUAGUUGUUAUAAAAUAUUGGCUAUUUUCCCUAUCUGUACAAUAUAUCCUUGUCGCUUAUUUACUUUAUUCAUAGUAGUUUAUAGCUUUUAAUAUUCCCUACCCCUCUUAUGCGCCUCCCCCUCCCUUCUCCCAUGGUUAAGGACUAGUUUGUUCUCUUAUAUGUGAGUCAGUUUUCUUUUUUGUUAUAUUCACUUGUUUGUUUUAUUGUUUAGAUUCCACGUAUAAGUGAUGUCUUACGGUAUUUGUCUUANUUGGAUUCGUUAACCACUGCGCCACAACGGGAACUCCAAAAUUUCAUUAUUUUUUAUGGCUGGGUAGUAUUCCAUUGUGUAUGUGUAUCUGUCUAUCUGUGUGUGUAUAUGUACACACACAUAUAUUUACACACACCAUAUCUUCUUUAUCCAUUCAUCUGUUGAUGGAACUUAGGUUGCUUCCAUAUCUUGACUAUUCUAAGUAAUGCUGCUAUGAACAUUGGGGUGCAUUAUCUUUUUGAAUUGGUGUUCUCAUUUUUUUUUUUCCAGAUAAUAUACUCAGGAGUGGAAUUUCUGGAUUAUAUGGUAGUUCUGUUUUUAUUUUUUGAGAACCCUCCAUCUUAUUUUCCACAGUGGCUGCACCAGUUUACAUUCCAACCAACAAUGUGUGAGGGUUCCCUCUUCUCCAUAUCCUCGACAUUAUUUAUUAUUUGUAAUCUUUUUGAUAAUAACCAUUGUGAGAUAUCCCAUUGUGGUUUUAAUUUGCAUUUAUUUAAUGAUUAACAAUGUUCAGCAUCUUUUUGUACACCUAUUGGCCAUGUAUGUGUCUUCUUUGGAAACAUAUCUAUUCAGGACUUCUGCCUAGUUUUUAAUGGGGUUGUUUGUUGUCUUUACUAUUGAGUUGUAUGAGGUAUAUAAAUAUUGUGGAUAUUAACUCCUUAUUGGUCGUAUCAUUUGCAAAUAUUUUCUCCCAUUUAGGGGUUAUCUUUUUUUUUUUUUGAUGACUUCCUUUGCUGUGCAAAAGCUUUUAAUAGAUCCCAUUUGUUUAUUUUGUUUCCUUUACUUUAGGAGACACAACCAAAUAUAUAUAUAGCUACAAUUUAUGUCAAAAAGUCUGUUCCCAGAAUUCCUGUUGUGGCAUAGCAGAAAUGAAUCUGACUCGUAUCCAUGAGGAUGAGGAUUCAAUCCCUGGCCUUGCUCAGUGGGUCAAGGAUCCGGCAUUGCCAUGAGCUGUGGUGUAGGUGAAUCUGGCAUGGCUGUGGCUGUGGUGUAGGGCGGCAGCUGUAGCUCUGAUUCAACCCCUAGCCUGGUAACUUCCAUAUGCCACACCUACAGCCCUAAAAAAAAAAAAAAA